RNAcentral lists this ribosomal RNA (420 nucleotides) under Triticum aestivum (bread wheat). RNAcentral describes it as "partial small subunit ribosomal RNA". The record is from RNAcentral. Lineage: Eukaryota; Viridiplantae; Streptophyta; Magnoliopsida; Poales; Poaceae.
AUGGAGCCCCACAUGGAGAGCGCGCUCCGUCAAGGGUUGACGGAGCCGGAGCGGAGGGAGGUGGAGGGCGUGGUGGAGGAGCACCACACAUUCCCUGGGCGCACCAGCGGGACGUGCACGUCACUGGUCACACAGCGCGUGCAGGCACCUCUUGCCGCCGUGUGGGACAUCGUGCGCGGCUUCGCCAAUCCACAGCGCUACAAGCACUUCAUCAAGUCCUGUGCUCUCGCCGCCGGCGACGGCGCCACCGUGGGCAGUGUCCGCGAGGUCACCGUCGUCUCCGGCCUCCCCGCCUCCACCAGCACCGAGCCCCAUGGAGGUCGAGCUCUUGAAUCUAUUCCUCUUCCCAUUUGUGUUGCCUUCUUCUCCAGGGCGAUGGUCCGGCAUAUGACCGUCGUUUUGAUGGCCACGUGUCCAUGA